This is a long non-coding RNA of Daphnia magna, 1681 nucleotides long. RefSeq lists it as uncharacterized. The transcript has 3 exons. The record is from RefSeq and is a predicted model, not a curated record. NCBI's taxonomy places the organism in Eukaryota, Metazoa, Arthropoda, Branchiopoda, Diplostraca, Daphniidae.
AUGGCUGACGGCGUCGUUACAGUUUGUGAUCUUCACAAACUUUCACGUGUUUCUCCACGACAAACUGGAUUGAGCCUCGGUUCUCCACCCCUAAAUGGAUUGAACCUCUUGGUUCUCCACCCCUAAAUGGAUCGAACCUCUUGGUUCUCCACCCCUAAAUGGAUCGAACCUCUUGGUUCUCCACCCCUAAAUGGAUCGAACCUCCUGGUUCUCCACCCCUAAAUGGAUUGAACCUCUUGGUUCUCCACCCCUAAAUGGAUUGAGCCUAUUGGUUCUCCACCCCUAACCUAAUCCUAUUCUUGUUUUAAUUGAAAAAUAAUUAUCAUUUUUCUCUUAGGUACAAUUUGGUUUCACUUUCAUUGGGUAGCUUGAUGGACUUUGAAAAAAUCAAGGGUAUGCUCUUUGCAAACGAUGCGAAUCCUGACCGAGCCAAGGCUGUCGUUGGUAACCUCCACCGUCUUGGAGUUACAAACGCUGUCGUGAUGACCUACGACGGAAAAGUUCUGCCCAAGAUGAGUAGGGGAUACAAUCGUGUAUUGCUGGACGCUCCAUGUAGUGGAACAUACAUAUAGUGUCAUUUCUAAAGAUCCUUCUGCAAAAACAUCUAAAGACAGCAAAGACAUCAACCGCUGCUCUCAUCUUCAAAAAGAACUUAUCCUUGCCGCUAUAGAUUGUGCCGACGAAGGUGGAUACAUUGUAUAUUCAACUUGCUCCGUUCUUGUCCGAUGGGUAGUAGAUUACGCGUUGAAAAUGACCUGCUGAGGGACGUCAUCGACCCUCCGGAGCUGAGUAACAUUGCCCGAACUAUUCUGACGAUGAAAGAAAUGGGAGCCCUUUUCGUUACAGCGAACGACGUUGUCUCCGCAUUGGAUGUUGACUUGAGUUACCUUGGCUAUGUCGUCUCACGUCUCCCAAUAGACGUUCACUUGGGCAAGCUCGUAAUGCUAGGGUAAAAACGCGAAUUCGGACACCGUUUUGGCUAAGAGGCUUCCUUAUGGGAAAUGUGUGUAUGGCCGAUCUGCUAAUUCCGGACAAAUUUUCUAAUUCACCGGACAUUUUUGCUAAUUUCGGACAGUAAUAUUUUUAAAAACUAAUUGAUUCAUUCGAUUCAAUUUCUUAUUCUUAAUCGAAUUGCUUAAGACAUUAAAGGGGAUGCAAUGAGAAAAAAACGAGAUAUUAAUGAUUAAAGUAAUCAUAACAAUGAUCUGUCAAAAUGAAAUGUCGUCUGCCCAAACCCAAAUUACACUAGAUCGGCACUCUUCCAAAACACAGAAUUCUAUUUAAUUAAUACAACAAUUAAUUUAUCUCAAUAAGUAGCCAAUAGUUUAAAAAUUAAUAGAUAUAAAUUUAAAAAUUUUCAAGCGGUGAAAAUUUCAAGAAAAUUGCGUUGAAACUACGGCAAGUUUGGCUUAAUGUCCGAUAUUAAAAAUCAUAAAAAUGCCUCCUAAAUUGACAUUUCAUCGACCAUUAUUGAUAUCACUACAUUCGUUAGGAUGGCCUCUGUUAAACUGUGGAAAUCGUAAUGUUUAAAGUCUUGGUAUAUUUAUAAAAUGAGUGAUUGCGUUUCUCCUUUUUCACCUAAGCCACCGUGUUGCUAAUUCCGGACAGCAGACUACAGCAGACGACACAAAAUGAUAUGCUAUUUAUUUCGAGAAAUUAAUACCAUAAUAGCUCAGCGGUA